This 433-nucleotide ribosomal RNA is filed under the name uncultured bacterium. RNAcentral's name for it is "partial 16S ribosomal RNA". It matches the Rfam family "Bacterial small subunit ribosomal RNA", at positions 29 to 507 of the family's 1533-position model. The record is from RNAcentral.
AGCGAACGCUGGCGGCAUGCCUAACACAUGCAAGUCGAACGAGACCUUCGGGUCUAGUGGCGCACGGGUGCGUAACGCGUGGGAACCUGCCCUUAGGUUCGGAGUAACUCCCCGAAAGGGGUGCUAAUACCGGAUAAUGUCUUCGGACCAAAGAUUUAUCGCCUUUGGAUGGGCCCGCGUUGGAUUAGCUAGUUGGUAGGGUAAAAGCCUACCAAGGCGACGGUCCAUAGCUGGUCUGAGAGGAUGAUCAGCCACACUGGGACUGAGACACGGCCCAGACUCCUACGGGAGGCAGCAGUGGGGAAUAUUGUACAAUGGGCGAAAGCCUGAUCCAGCAAUGCCGCGUGAGUGAUGAAGGCCUUAGGGUUGUAAAGCUCUUUUACCCGGGAUGAUAAUGACAGUACCGGGAGAAUAAGCUCCGGCUAACUCCGUG